RNAcentral lists this ribosomal RNA (546 nucleotides) under Salmonella enterica. Its description in RNAcentral is "bacterial SSU rRNA". It matches the Rfam family "Bacterial small subunit ribosomal RNA", at positions 160 to 701 of the family's 1533-position model. Lineage: Bacteria; Pseudomonadati; Pseudomonadota; Gammaproteobacteria; Enterobacterales; Enterobacteriaceae. The record is from RNAcentral.
UGGCUAAUACCGCAUAACGUCGCAAGACCAAAGAGGGGGACCUUCGGGCCUCUUGCCAUCAGAUGUGCCCAGAUGGGAUUAGCUAGUUGGUGAGGUAACGGCUCACCAAGGCGACGAUCCCUAGCUGGUCUGAGAGGAUGACCAGCCACACUGGAACUGAGACACGGUCCAGACUCCUACGGGAGGCAGCAGUGGGGAAUAUUGCACAAUGGGCGCAAGCCUGAUGCAGCCAUGCCGCGUGUAUGAAGAAGGCCUUCGGGUUGUAAAGUACUUUCAGCGGGGAGGAAGGUGUUGUGGUUAAUAACCGCAGCAAUUGACGUUACCCGCAGAAGAAGCACCGGCUAACUCCGUGCCAGCAGCCGCGGUAAUACGGAGGGUGCAAGCGUUAAUCGGAAUUACUGGGCGUAAAGCGCACGCAGGCGGUCUGUCAAGUCGGAUGUGAAAUCCCCGGGCUCAACCUGGGAACUGCAUUCGAAACUGGCAGGCUUGAGUCUUGUAGAGGGGGGUAGAAUUCCAGGUGUAGCGGUGAAAUGCGUAGAGAUCUGG